UUUUUCAAGUCUUGUUUCAAAAGUCCAGAAGGAGCGAUGAAUCCCUAAUUAUAUUGUCUUUUUUAUUCAUAAAUUGCCAAGGUGGAGUACGGUAAGGAUAGAAGGAAUUUCAUAUGGAGCGGUGAAAUGCGUAGAGAUUGAAAAGAACACCAACGGUGAAAGCACUCUACUAGGCUAACAUUAAGAGACAAAAACUAGAGGAACGAAUGGGAUUAGAUACCCCAGUAGUCAUAACCAUUAACGAUAGUUACUGAGUGUUGUGCGUAUCAACCCGUGUAGUGUUGUAGCUAACACGUUUUGCCUAGGGAGUACGUUCGCAAGAAUGAAACUUAUAGGAAUUGACAAGGGGCGCACAAGUGGUGGAGCAUGUGGUUCAAUUCGAUGCAAAGUAAAGAACCUUAUUAGGGCUUAACAUGCGGUGAAUCCUUUUGAAAUAGAAGGGUGCCUUCAGGAACGUGGAUACUGGUGGUGCAUGGACGUCGUUAGCUCGUGAUAUAAGGUGUUAGGUUAAGUCCCGCAAUGAGUGCAACCCUCGUGUUUAGUUUCCAUCGUUGAGUUUAGAACCAUGAGUAGAUUGUUGGUUAUAAGUCGAAGGAAGGUGAGGAUGACAUCAAGUCAUCAUGCCUUUUAUGCCUUGGGCGCACAUAUGCUACAAUGAUCAAGACAAAGAGUCGUGAUCCCACAAAGUUAAGCUAACUCUAAAAUCUUGUUCUCAAUUCAAAUUACAGGCUGCAACUCGCUUGCAUGAAACCAGAAUCUCUAGUAAUUUCCGAUCAAUCAUACGGUAGUGAAUUCAUUCCUGAGCCACACAUUGGUCGUCACACUAAGGAAAGUUGGCUUAUAGCAAUUAUAUUACAUAUACCUAGUUUGAUCCCACUUUUC
Molecule: non-coding RNA, 882 nt
Filed under: Populus trichocarpa (black cottonwood)
Lineage: Eukaryota; Viridiplantae; Streptophyta; Magnoliopsida; Malpighiales; Salicaceae
Description: Bacterial small subunit ribosomal RNA
Rfam family: Bacterial small subunit ribosomal RNA
Source: Rfam by way of RNAcentral